RNAcentral lists this ribosomal RNA (392 nucleotides) under uncultured bacterium. RNAcentral's name for it is "partial 16S ribosomal RNA". It matches the Rfam family "Bacterial small subunit ribosomal RNA", at positions 523 to 918 of the family's 1533-position model. The record is from RNAcentral.
AUACGGAGGAUCCGAGCGUUAUCCGGAUUUAUUGGGUUUAAAGGGUGCGCAGGCGGCCAUUUAAGUCAGCGGUUAAAUCGUGGGGCUCAACCCCAUUCUGCCGUUGAUACUGGGUGGCUUGAUUGCGGUCGAGGUUGGCGGAAUUAGUUGUGUAGCGGUGAAAUGCAUAGAUAUGACGAAGAACACCGAUUGCGUAGGCAGCUGACCAGACCGCAAAUGACGCUCAUGCACGAAAGUGCGGGGAUCGAACAGGAUUAGAUACCCUGGUAGUCCGCACAGUAAACGAUGAAUACUUGUUUUCGGCGAUAUAAUGUCGGAGGCAAAGCGAAAGCGAUAAGUAUUCCACCUGGGGAGUACGCCGGCAACGGUGAAACUCAAAGGAAUUGACGGGG